Molecule: long non-coding RNA, 126 nt
Organism: Sycon ciliatum
Lineage: Eukaryota; Metazoa; Porifera; Calcarea; Leucosolenida; Sycettidae
Exons: 2
Source: RefSeq, a predicted model, not a curated record
AUGUCCAGCUACACAACGAGAUGAGGAUGGUCAUUGUCAUUUUCUAAGCUGCGAACGGGCAGAAAGCUACACAACGAGAUGAGGAUGGUCAUUGUCAUUUUCUGAGCUGCGAACGGGCAGAAAGCU